UGCCAGGAAGGGCUGACGUCACCGUUCGGCCUGUGUGUGCCUGCGGGUGCCCCGGGGAGGGUGGAGCCGAGUCGCGUGGUGGACUGAGGGCGUUAUCCUGCUAAGGGUGUUGGUGAUGGUUUACUUCAUUAAGUGUGUAGCUGUGAACUGUCAGGGCAAGAUUAUGACUGAACUAGAGGAGAACAUCACCCAGAGAUCUUGGACUUGGAGCUGGAUGCAGGCACUGAUGAGACUCUGGGUUUCCCCGUUGGGGGAGGAAGAAUCAACUUUCCAGCCCCUUGAGCAACCAGCGAGCCAGUCAUCCAUAUCUGCAACCAGACUUUGAUUUGAAUAGAUGACUCCAGUCUCACGUGUCACCCGACUGCAACCAGAUGAGAAGCCCCAGGUGAGACCAGUGGAAGAACUGCCUACAUGAUCUCAGACAACCUACAGAAUCACAAGAGGGGGUCAUUCCAGUGCUUUCUAUUGAUGAAACUUAAAAUUCUGCCACCUGAUGACGGAGAACUUUUUGCAGGAUCCAAGUCCAGUAUCACAAAGUGCAGGGUAAAGAAGAGUGGAUUUGGAAUGGAAAGCCAAUAAAUUGAUAACUUGC
Long non-coding RNA from Prionailurus viverrinus (fishing cat), 592 nucleotides. RefSeq lists it as uncharacterized. The transcript is spliced from 5 exons. Lineage: Eukaryota; Metazoa; Chordata; Mammalia; Carnivora; Felidae. The record is from RefSeq and is a predicted model, not a curated record.